CAGGAUUCAUUUUCCGAUUUGUGAGCUUCUCGUUCGUCAAAUACACUGCCAACGCGCUUUUCACAAAUUUUCUUUUCGCUUUCCAUCACUGCCUAAUCCAAGAUGUUCGCCCGCUCCGCCAUCCGCCGCUGGGUCAACAAGGACACGAAGGUGAUUGUCCAGGGCAUGACCGGCAAGGCCGGCACGUUCCACACGAAGGAGGCGAUGGCGUACGGCACCAAGGUCGUGGGCGGUGUGAGCCCGAAGAAGGCGGGCACGACGGCGCUGGGCGUGCCGGUGUUUGCGACGGCUGCGGAGGCGGUGAAGGCGACGGGCGCGACUGCGUCGGUGCUGUACGUGCCUGCGCCUUCGUGCGCUGCGUCGAUCGAGGAGGCUCUGGACGCGGAGCUGCCGCUGGUUGUAGUGAUCACGGAGGGCAUCCCGCAGUGGGACAUGCUGCGCGUGAAGUCGAUGCUGCUGUCGCAGAACAAGACACGCCUGAUCGGCCCCAACUGCCCAGGCAUCAUCAAGCCUGCGGAGUGCAAGAUCGGCAUCAUGCCCGGUCACAUCCACCAGAAGGGCAAGAUCGGCAUUGUGUCGCGCAGCGGCACGCUGACGUACGAGGCGGUUGCGCAGACGACGGCGGAGGGCCUCGGCCAGUCGCUGUGCGUCGGCAUUGGCGGCGACCCGUUCAACGGCACAAACAUGGUGGACUGCCUGAGGCUGUUCCUGAACGACCCCGAGACGGAGGGCAUCAUACUGAUUGGCGAGAUCGGCGGCACGGCGGAGGAGGAAGCGGCGGACUUCAUCAAGAACAGCCCGAUCAAGAAGCCGAUCGUGUCCUUCAUCGGCGGGGCGACUGCGCCGCCGGGCCGCCGCAUGGGCCACGCCGGUGCUAUCGUCUCUGGCGGGAUGGGCACCGCGAAGGGCAAGAAGGAUGCGCUGCGCGCCGCCGGCGUGACCAUCUCCGACUCGCCGGCGCACCUUGGCAAGCACAUGGCUGAGCUCUUCGCCACGAAGUAGGAAUCGUGCCACUGCUGAUGCCCGUUCAGGAGCUUCGAAGUGCUUAUCACUGAUUAAGGACGCUGGGGGCCGCUGGGUAGAUUGUUCUGGGCAUGCGCUCCAAUGGAAUGCAGUCGCCACGUCUUCCUCUCCCACAGGGCCGUUUGGUGUGUGCUGCGUCGCUGAAGACUUGAUCGUGUGUGUAUGUGUCUCUGUGCGCGUUUACAGAGAUGGAGCGGAGAAGUGGGGUAAAAGCACGAGAAGCGCGUGUGUAGCCGCAGGAGAGGGCGAAGGCGAGAGGAAGCGAGUUAACAGCGGCACACAGCUGCGCAGGCGGAACGAGACACACGCGCGUUUGUCAGGCGGCAUGAUCCGGGGAGCGGGGCUCAGUGUGACUGUUCUCGAGCGCGGGUUGGGGCAGAGGUAGUGCGGGAGUUGGUCCCCGGCGACGGAGGAAGGGGGCAUUGGAUACCGGACGGUGAUGGUGCGAGUGAGGGAUAGAGGAGAUGCAAGUAGGGGUGCGGCUCACGAGCAACUGUCUCGUCUCUUUCGGGUGCGUUGCCUUAUCUUGGAGGCCAACUCGUUUUCCUUCCUCUGCCCCACGCCCCCCCUCCCUUUUUCUUGCGCCGCUCUCCGGAGGGCUCAUGAACGAGAAGGGACUCUGUGAUGCAUCAACUGGAUCUCACCCUCAUCAUGCUCCCAGCCUCCUGUGUCGGUGGCUCCCUGCCCUUUCCCGCCCUCCGCCUCGUUGGUGGGAUGACAGGACGCUCAUCUGGCUCUAAGAGUCUUCGUGUUCCUUUCUCACUGCUCUUUUUAUGCACGCACUUCCUUUCGAGGCUUUCCAACCCUGUGUGCGUGUGUCUUCCUCUUCCUCCGCGUCUGCGGCUGUGCGUGCGUGCCAGUGGAAUGUCCAUUUAUCUGCAUCAGGGAACGAUUUUUGCGCAGCAUCGUGCGUCUAUAACCGCCUAUUGCUGACUCACUGCAUGCACAUACUCCCUCUAAGUGCCGUCACACUCUCUCCAUUGAUGCACUCACGCGGGGUGGAAGUGGGUGAAAGACGUGUUGAUAACAAGGGUGCGUGAAAUGUUAAUGCAGGUGGAAGUGGUGAAGCGGAAUUCACUCAAUGGUUUCCAAUCUUUUUUUUAUGCUGGCAGGAGGGGGGAGGGGCGGGUACGUGCUGCAGGCAUGCCGAACGUCCUGAGCGCUCAUAUACACACCUCAGCGCACAUGCACAAUGCAUAGUUCUGCAGAGAGAGGGACGAUAUUGAUUUGACACACACACACACACACACACACAUCUAUAUACAUAUAGAGUACGUUCGGCUGUGUGUGCGCUGCGACACGGGUAGCAUGGUGUGUGUGCGUCAGCGUUUCUAUGCCCUUGUUGGUAUUGUUUCUCUCUCCCUACGUGCAUGUGUGUGUGUGUGUGUUUGCUUGUGCCGAUCACCAGCUCGCUUUCCCUCCCUCUCACGUCGUUGCCCACGCAAAGUGGAGGAUAACGAAAAGAGGGGAGUUAGAGCAGUGGGGGGACGGAGAAGUGCGACCUCCGUUUUGUGUCACGCGGCGUACCGCCCCUGCGGUUCUCGUUCUGCCUCCGCUUUCUGUUCCUCUUUGCAUUCUCGUAUUCACAUUCGGCAGGGUUGGUCUCUCGGCAGGGCGCGUAUUGCACAGACGUACGUGCCCAAGCAAGCACUCCCCACGCGCACGCACACUUCUCUGUGGGCAGUUGAGCCCGUUCACCUGCAUGCUGUGUGCGCGUCCAUGACAAUGUACAGGAUCACGGCGGCGCGCGAGCAGCACUGCUGCAGCGGUCUCGUCGGGGGAGGUGUCUGUGUGAGUGUGUGUGGGCGACUGUCUUUUAUGCUUCGCCUACAAGGCGUCCUCCUUUUGUAUCAAAAGACUCGUUUUCUGGCGCUCCGUUUGUGUGUGUGUCUGUGCGUUCUAGUUAUGAUGAUGAUAUGAUGGCGUGUGCGUGAAUGCGUGUGCGCGAAGUGACGGUGUGCGUGUGUCAGCGUUCGACAGCGUGUUGAUGCUCGCCCCCUCCUCGACCCUUUUCUCGAAAGUUUUCCUUUAGAUAUAUGUAGCUUGGAAGUAGGGGGCGUGUGCAUGGUGUGUGUGUGUGUGGGUGGGUGACGGCACAUUGCCGGCCGCUUUAUCAAAGCGGCUAAAUACACGUUUCCUUGUGUUCGUUUGUCUUCCAUGAUGCUUAAGUCUUUCCGACGUCGCCCCCCCCCCUCCCUCCCCACCUCCUCCUUUCCACAUUUGUGUGCGUGCCCUUCCUACGCCCCCACACCCCGCUCUCUCUCUCUCUACGCGAGUCAGGGGGCAGGUGGAGGAGGUAUCCGGCUUGUGGCUUCAUCUUUCUUGUCCCAUGCUCCGUGUGCCGGCGCGUACGGGUCUGUGUAGGCUCAAGUGUGCUGCAGAAGCGGAAAGUACCGGGGGAGGGGAGGGGAGGGGACGAAGGGGGUGUUGCUGAAUCAAAGCGAAGAGAUAACUCUUUCUCAUUUUUAUCGUAGCAGCAACAAAAUGAAGUCGCCUUCACCCCCUCGCGCGCCAUAAGCACAGUGGUAGCAGUGCACAAAGUCACAAGCGCAGGAGGAGGAGUGCGAAGCGAGUGAACGGCCGCGUGCACCACGGCUCCAUC
Molecule: unclassified non-coding RNA, 3625 nt
Filed under: Leishmania donovani
Lineage: Eukaryota; Euglenozoa; Kinetoplastea; Trypanosomatida; Trypanosomatidae
Description: gene:LdHU3.25.2700(CDS-product:succinyl-CoA_synth etase_alpha_subunit_putative)
Source: RNAcentral